CCUAAGGUAUAGUCCCAAAAAACCAUUGGUGGACCACUUGUUCACACAUGAGAACCACAUAAUGGCAUUUUAUGAGGGUCACUAAGCAAGGCCCGAGACUUGGGAGAGGUUGAGUGAAGGUUUAGCUAAGGUAGUACCUAGGGUCCCUUAAGGUAGUACCUAAGGUACAGUCCCAAAAAAUCAUUGGUGGACCACUUGUUCACACAUGAGAACCACAUAAUGGCAUGGUAUGAGGGUCACUAAGCAAGGCUCGAGGCUUGGGAGAGGUUGAGUGAAGGUUUAGCUAAGGUAGUACCUAGGGUCCCUUAAGGUAGUACCUAAGGGCUCUUAAGGUAGUACCUAAGGUACAGUCCCAAAAAACCAUAGGUGGACCACUUGUUCACACAUGAGAACCACAUAAUGACGUGGUAUGAGGGUCACUAAGCAAGGCCCGGGGCUUGGGAGAGGUUGAGUUAAGGUUUAGCUAAGGUAGUACCUAAGGUACAGUCCCAAAAAACCAUAGGUGGACCACUUGUUCACACAUGAGAACCACAUAAUGACGUGGUAUGAGGGUCACUAAGCAAGGCCCGGGGCUUGGGAGAGGUUGAGUUAAGGUUUAGCUAAGGUAGUACCUAGGGUCCCUUAAGGUAGUACCU
Long non-coding RNA from Vitis riparia (riverbank grape), 635 nucleotides. RefSeq lists it as uncharacterized. Lineage: Eukaryota; Viridiplantae; Streptophyta; Magnoliopsida; Vitales; Vitaceae. The transcript is spliced from 3 exons. The record is from RefSeq and is a predicted model, not a curated record.